AGAGUUUGAUCAUGGCUCAGAACGAACGCUGGCGGCAGGCUUAACACAUGCAAGUCGAACGCAUGCCUUCGGGCAUGAGUGGCAGACGGGUGAGUAACGCGUGGGAACCUACCCCUUGGUACGGGAUAGCUCCGGGAAACUGGAGAUAAUACCGUAUGUGUCCUGAGGGACAAAGAUUCAUCGCCAAGGGAUGGGCCCGCGUCGGAUUAGCUAGUUGGUGGGGUAACGGCCUACCAAGGCGACGAUCCGUAGCUGGUCUAAGAGGAUGAUCAGCCACAUUGGGACUGAGACACGGCCCAAACUCCUACGGGAGGCAGCAGUGGGGAAUAUUGGACAAUGGGCGCAAGCCUGAUCCAGCCAUGCCGCGUGAGUGAUGAAGGCCCUAGGGUUGUAAAGCUCUUUCACCGGUGACGAUAAUGACGGUAACCGGAGAAGAAGCCCCGGCUAACUUCGUGCCAGCAGCCGCGGUAAUACGAAGGGGGCUAGCGUUGUUCGGAAUUACUGGGCGUAAAGCGCACGUAGGCGGAUAUUUAAGUCAGGGGUGAAAUCCCGGGGCUCAACCCCGGAACGGCCUUUGAUACUGGAUGUCUUGAGUCCGGAAGAGGUGAGUGGAAUUGCGAGUGUAGAGGUGAAAUUCGUAGAUAUUCGCAGGAACACCAGUGGCGAAGGCGGCUCACUGGUCCGGAACUGACGCUGAGGUGCGAAAGCGUGGGGAGCAAACAUGAUUAGAUACCCUGGUAGUCCACGCCGUAAACGAUGGAAGCUAGCCGUUGGGCGAUUUAUCGCUCGGGUGGCGCAGUUUAACGCAUUAAGCUUCCCGCCUGGGGAGUACGGUCGCAAGAUUAAAACUCAAAGGAAUUGACGG
This 865-nucleotide ribosomal RNA is filed under the name uncultured bacterium. RNAcentral's name for it is "bacterial SSU rRNA". It matches the Rfam family "Bacterial small subunit ribosomal RNA", at positions 8 to 916 of the family's 1533-position model. The record is from RNAcentral.